GACUCACCUUCUUCUGCCCCCACGCCUGUCC
Molecule: non-coding RNA, 31 nt
Filed under: Homo sapiens (human)
Lineage: Eukaryota; Metazoa; Chordata; Mammalia; Primates; Hominidae
Source: RNAcentral